UGGGGAAUAUUGCACAAUGGGGGAAACCCUGAUGCAGCGACGCCGCGUGAAGGAAGAAGUAUCUCGGUAUGUAAACUUCUAUCAGCAGGGAAGAUAGUGACGGUACCUGACUAAGAAGCCCCGGCUAACUACGUGCCAGCAGCCGCAGUAAUACUAGACU
This 160-nucleotide ribosomal RNA is filed under the name uncultured bacterium. RNAcentral describes it as "partial 16S ribosomal RNA". It matches the Rfam family "Bacterial small subunit ribosomal RNA", at positions 355 to 533 of the family's 1533-position model. The record is from RNAcentral.